Molecule: ribosomal RNA, 720 nt
Filed under: Microbacterium sp. 10-30-4E
Lineage: Bacteria; Bacillati; Actinomycetota; Actinomycetes; Micrococcales; Microbacteriaceae
Description: bacterial SSU rRNA
Rfam family: Bacterial small subunit ribosomal RNA
Source: RNAcentral
AACGGUGACACGGAGCUUGCUCUGUGGGAUCAGUGGCGAACGGGUGAGUAACACGUGAGCAACCUGCCCCUGACUCUGGGAUAAGCGCUGGAAACGGCGUCUAAUACUGGAUAUGUGACGUGAUCGCAUGGUCUGCGUCUGGAAAGAAUUUCGGUUGGGGAUGGGCUCGCGGCCUAUCAGCUUGUUGGUGAGGUAAUGGCUCACCAAGGCGUCGACGGGUAGCCGGCCUGAGAGGGUGACCGGCCACACUGGGACUGAGACACGGCCCAGACUCCUACGGGAGGCAGCAGUGGGGAAUAUUGCACAAUGGGCGCAAGCCUGAUGCAGCAACGCCGCGUGAGGGAUGACGGCCUUCGGGUUGUAAACCUCUUUUAGCAGGGAAGAAGCGAAAGUGACGGUACCUGCAGAAAAAGCGCCGGCUAACUACGUGCCAGCAGCCGCGGUAAUACGUAGGGCGCAAGCGUUAUCCGGAAUUAUUGGGCGUAAAGAGCUCGUAGGCGGUUUGUCGCGUCUGCUGUGAAAUCCGGAGGCUCAACCUCCGGCCUGCAGUGGGUACGGGCAGACUAGAGUGCGGUAGGGGAGAUUGGAAUUCCUGGUGUAGCGGUGGAAUGCGCAGAUAUCAGGAGGAACACCGAUGGCGAAGGCAGAUCUCUGGGCCGUAACUGACGCUGAGGAGCGAAAGGGUGGGGAGCAAACAGGCUUAGAUACCCUGGUAGUCCA